GAUCUGGCUCAGGAUGAACGCUAGCUACAGGCUUAACACAUGCAAGUCGAGGGGCAGCAGGGCAAUAGCUGCUAUGCUGCUGGCGACGGCGCACGGGUGAGUAACGCGUAUCCAACCUACCCCGCGGUCAGGGACAGCCCGGCGAAAGUCGGAUUAAUACCUGAUGCAGUCAGAAGAGGGCAUCUGAUUUUGACGAAAGAUUUAUCGCCUCGGGAUGGGGGAUGCGUAGGAUUAGGCAGGCGGCGGGGUAACGGCCCACCGCGCCGACGAUCCUUAGGGGUUCUGAGAGGAAGGUCCCCCACACUGGUACUGAGACACGGACCAGACUCCUACGGGAGGCAGCAGUGAGGAAUAUUGGUCAAUGGGCGCGAGCCUGAACCAGCCAAGUAGCGUGCCAGGACGACGGCCCUAUGGGUUGUAGACUGCUUUUAUGCGGGGAUAAAGUGCGGCACGUGUGCCGUUUUGUAGGUACCGCAUGAAUAAGGACCGGCUAAUUCCGUGCCAGCCGCCGC
This 512-nucleotide ribosomal RNA is filed under the name uncultured bacterium. RNAcentral describes it as "bacterial SSU rRNA". It matches the Rfam family "Bacterial small subunit ribosomal RNA", at positions 15 to 518 of the family's 1533-position model. The record is from RNAcentral.